RNAcentral lists this unclassified non-coding RNA (354 nucleotides) under soil metagenome. RNAcentral's name for it is "partial contains 5.8S ribosomal RNA, internal transcribed spacer 2, and large subunit ribosomal RNA". The stretch from base 1 to 120 matches the Rfam family "5.8S ribosomal RNA", at positions 35 to 154 of the family's 154-position model. The record is from RNAcentral.
GAUGAAGAACGUAGCGAAAUGCGAUAAUUAAUGUGAAUUGCAGAAUUCCGUGAAUCAUCGAGUCUUUGAACGCACAUUGCGCCCCCUGGCAUUCCGGGGGGCAUGCCUGUCCGAGCGUCAUUUCUGCCCUCCAGCCCGGCUGGGUGUUGGGCGCUGUCCCCCCGGGGACACGCCCCAAAGGCAGUGGCGGCGCCGCGUCGGGUCCUCGAGCGUAUGGGGCUUUGUCACCCGCUCGGGACGGACUCGUCGGCGCUGGUCUUCCUCCAGGCGACCCUUCGGGGCUCGUCUUCCUUCGGUUGACCUCGGAUCAGGUAGGGUUACCCGCUGAACUUAAGCAUAUCAAUAAGCGGAGGA